RNAcentral lists this ribosomal RNA (927 nucleotides) under Hyphoderma setigerum. RNAcentral's name for it is "LSU rRNA". It matches the Rfam family "Eukaryotic large subunit ribosomal RNA", at positions 40 to 954 of the family's 3401-position model. The record is from RNAcentral. Lineage: Eukaryota; Fungi; Basidiomycota; Agaricomycetes; Polyporales; Hyphodermataceae.
AUAUCAAUAAGCGGAGGAAAAGAAACUAACAAGGAUUCCCCUAGUAACUCGCGAGUGAAGCGGGAAAAGCUCAAAUUUAAAAUCUGGCGGUCUUUGGUCGUCCGAGUUGUAAUCUAGAGAAGUGUUUUCCGCGUUGGACCGUGUAUAAGUUCCUUGGAAUAGGACGUCAUAGAGGGUGAGAAUCCCGUCUUUGACACGGACUACCAAUGCUCUGUGAUGCGCUCUCAAAGAGUCGAGUUGUUUGGGAAUGCAGCUCAAAAUGGGUGGUAAAUUCCAUCUAAAGCUAAAUAUUGGCGAGAGACCGAUAGCGAACAAGUACCGUGAGGGAAAGAUGAAAAGCACUUUGGAAAGAGAGUUAAACAGUACGUGAAAUUGCUGAAAGGGAAACACUUGAAGUCAGUCGCGUCGCUCAGAACUCAGCCUGGCUUUUGCUUGGUGUAUUUUCUGUGUGACGGGCCAGCAUCAAUUUUGAUCAUUGGAAAAAUUCCAGAGGAAUGUGGCAUCUUCGGGUGUGUUAUAGCCUCUGGUUGCAUACAAUGGUUGGGAUUGAGGAUAUCAGCACGCCUUUUGGCCGGGGUUCGCCCACGUUCGUGCUUAGGAUGCUGGCGUAAUGGCUUUAAAUGACCCGUCUUGAAACACGGACCAAGGAGUCUAACAUACCUGCGAGUGUUUGGGUGGCAAACCCGAGCGCGUAAUGAAAGUGAAAACUGGGAUCCCUGUCGUGGGGAGCACCAGUGCCCGGACCAGACCUUCUGUGACGGCUCCGCGGUAGAGCAUGCAUGUUGGGACCCGAAAGAUGGUGAACUAUGCCUGAAUAGGGUGAAGCCAGAGGAAACUCUGGUGGAGGCUCGUAGCGAUUCUGACGUGCAAAUCGAUCGUCAAAUUUGGGUAUAGGGGCGAAAGACAAUCGAACCAUCUAGUAGCUGG